This 371-nucleotide ribosomal RNA is filed under the name Chelator insignis. RNAcentral describes it as "partial 16S ribosomal RNA". The record is from RNAcentral. Lineage: Eukaryota; Metazoa; Arthropoda; Malacostraca; Isopoda; Desmosomatidae.
UCUUUAAUUAAGAGCUAGAAUGAAUGAGCUGAUGACACUUGAGCUUUUUAGCUAGAGCAGUGGAAUUUGAUAUUUACUUCAAAAAGAGUAGAUAAACUAGGGGGACGAUAAGACCCUAUAAAACUUUAAUUUAUACAUAUUUCUAUAGUACUUAGAAUAGAAUAAUAUAUUAAAAAUUAGGCUGGGGCGGCAAUUAGAAUACACUAGUAAAAUUAACACAAUAGGUGGGGUUAAAGAUCUUAUAAAAAGAUAGAAUAAGUUACUUUAGGGAUAACAGCACAAUUUUUUCAAAUAGUUCACAUAAAAGGAAAAGACUUGUGACCUCGAUGUUGAAUUGAGGUAUCUUAUUUAAGCAAAAAUAAAUAGAGAGG